Molecule: microRNA precursor, 59 nt
Filed under: Tupaia belangeri chinensis (Chinese tree shrew)
Lineage: Eukaryota; Metazoa; Chordata; Mammalia; Scandentia; Tupaiidae
Description: Tupaia chinensis (Chinese tree shrew) microRNA tch-mir-9771i precursor
Source: miRBase by way of RNAcentral
AAAAGUCAUGACGUCUUAUUCUGUGUUUUUCUAUGGAAAAAUGCGUCAUGACUUUCCCA